RNAcentral lists this ribosomal RNA (253 nucleotides) under uncultured bacterium. Its description in RNAcentral is "partial 16S ribosomal RNA". It matches the Rfam family "Bacterial small subunit ribosomal RNA", at positions 524 to 776 of the family's 1533-position model. The record is from RNAcentral.
GACGAACCACACGAACGUUAUUCGGAAUUACUGGGCUUAAAGGGUGCGUAGGCGGCGCGGUAAGUAGGGUGUGAAAUCCCUCGGCUCAACCGAGGAACUGCGCUCUAAACUACCGUGCUCGAGGGAGAUAGAGGUGAGCGGAACUUAGGGUGGAACGGUGAAAUGUGUUGAUAUCCUAAGGAACACCGGUGGCGAAGGCGGCAUCCUGGACCGGCAUUGACGCUGAGGCGCGAAAGCUAGGGGAGCAAACGGG